RNAcentral lists this ribosomal RNA (484 nucleotides) under uncultured bacterium. Its description in RNAcentral is "partial 16S ribosomal RNA". It matches the Rfam family "Bacterial small subunit ribosomal RNA", at positions 30 to 507 of the family's 1533-position model. The record is from RNAcentral.
AUUGAACGCUGGCGGCAGGCCUAACACAUGCAAGUCGAGCGGAUGAAGGGAGCUUGCUCCUGGAUUCAGCGGCGGACGGGUGAGUAAUGCCUAGGAAUCUGCCUGGUAGUGGGGGGUAACGUCCGGAAACGGGCGCUAAUACCGCAUACGUCCUGAGGGAGAAAGUGGGGGAUCUUCGGACCUCACGCUAUCAGAUGAGCCUAGGUCGGAUUAGCUAGUUGGUGGGGUAAAGGCCUACCAAGGCGACGAUCCGUAACUGGUCUGAGAGGAUGAUCAGUCACACUGGAACUGAGACACGGUCCAGACUCCUACGGGAGGCAGCAGUGGGGAAUAUUGGACAAUGGGCGAAAGCCUGAUCCAGCCAUGCCGCGUGUGUGAAGAAGGUCUUCGAAUUGUAAAGCACUUUAAGUUGGGAGGAAGGGCAGUAAGUUAAUACCUUGCUGUUUUGACGUUACCAACAGAAUAAGCACCGGCUAACUUCGUG